Molecule: ribosomal RNA, 348 nt
Filed under: uncultured Helicobacter sp.
Lineage: Bacteria; Pseudomonadati; Campylobacterota; Epsilonproteobacteria; Campylobacterales; Helicobacteraceae
Description: bacterial SSU rRNA
Rfam family: Bacterial small subunit ribosomal RNA
Source: RNAcentral
AAGUGGAUUAGUGGCGCACGGGUGAGUAACGCAUAGAUAACAUGCCCUUUAGUCUGGGAUAGCUACUGGAAACGGUGAUUAAUACUAGAUACUCCCUAAGGGGGAAAGAAUUUCGCUAAAGGAUUGGUCUAUGUCCUAUCAGCUUGUUGGUAAGGUAAUGGCUUACCAAGGCUAUGACGGGUAUCCGGCCUGAGAGGGUGAACGGACACACUGGAACUGAGACACGGUCCAGACUCCUACGGGAGGCAGCAGUAGGGAAUAUUGCUCAAUGGGGGAAACCCUGAAGCAGCAACGCCGCGUGGAGGAUGAAGGUUUUAGGAUUGUAAACUCCUUUUGUUAGAGAAGAUU